CUGUUUCAAUUGCUCAUCACAUCCCACCCCAACCCAUCAUGAUUGGACCACACUGUCUGUCCGACAGAAUCAUCUCCGGCCAACCCGAAAAUUCCGGCAGUAUCUCCAUCCGCUCUGAAAGCAGCAACACCAGUGCUCGUUCCUUCGCCUUCCCCAUGUACGUACCUUCGAAUUCACUCUUCAAUCUCAUUGAUUAAAAGAAGAAGAAAUUAAAAAAUAUAUCCACCUGUUAAUUUGCAGAUUGCAGUCGGAAGGACAUUUGAGUCCAGUGAAGAUGGCGAGAGCAGAACGACGACGGCGUUACUGGAAAAUCCGAUAUCGUCUCUGCUGCAAAUUCUAAAAUCAACCCAAACAAGUUAUUUUUUUUCUAUCAGUUUGUGUGAUCAAUUUGAUGUGCCUGUAUAGAUAAGUCUGUUUGGUUUCUUCGUUUGUCAAUUUAUUGUUUCUCAAUCUAGGUUUGAAAAAAUAUUUAAUUAUACAUAUACCCUUAUUUUUAUGGGUAAAUUUUACUAACACCCUUCUCUAAUAUCCUAAACAUUUCCAUUUUCGAUACUUUGUUUCGCGAAAUCUCCAAAUCACUGGUUCGAAACUCGAACACCAAUUAUGUACAUUUUCGACACCUGUUUCGCAGAAAUUCCAAAU
Molecule: long non-coding RNA, 642 nt
Filed under: Zostera marina
Lineage: Eukaryota; Viridiplantae; Streptophyta; Magnoliopsida; Alismatales; Zosteraceae
Description: long non-coding RNA (ZMAR_LNC006020)
Source: RNAcentral